AGCGAUGGGAUGCGAAUCUCGAAAGCCUGUCUCAGUUCGGAUUGGAGGCUGAAACCCGCCUCCAUGAAGUUGGAUUCGCUAGUAAUCGCGCAUCAGCCAUGGCGCGGCGAAUACGUUCCCGGGCCUUGUACACACCGCCCGUCAAGCCAUGGAAGCUGGGGGUGCCUGAAGUUCGUGACCGGAAGGAGCGACCUAGGGCAAAACCGGUGACUGGGGCUAAGUCGUAACAAGGUACC
RNAcentral lists this ribosomal RNA (236 nucleotides) under uncultured bacterium. RNAcentral describes it as "partial 16S ribosomal RNA". It matches the Rfam family "Bacterial small subunit ribosomal RNA", at positions 1256 to 1500 of the family's 1533-position model. The record is from RNAcentral.